Molecule: ribosomal RNA, 447 nt
Filed under: uncultured bacterium
Lineage: Bacteria
Description: partial 16S ribosomal RNA
Rfam family: Bacterial small subunit ribosomal RNA
Source: RNAcentral
AGCGAACGCUGGCGGCAGGCCUAAUACAUGCAAGUCGAACGGCCCUUCGGGGCAGUGGCGGACGGGUGAGUAACACGUGGGAACGUGCCCUUUGGUACGGAACAACUGAGGGAAACUUCAGCUAAUACCGUAUGUGCCCUUAGGGGGAAAGAUUUAUCGCCAUUGGAGCGGCCCGCGUUGGAUUAGCUAGUUGGGGGGGUAAAGGCCCACCAAGGCUACGAUCCAUAGCUGGUCUGAGAGGACGAUCAGCCACACUGGGACUGAGACACGGCCCAGACUCCUACGGGAGGCAGCAGUAGGGAAUCUUGCGCAAUGGGCGAAAGCCUGACGCAGCCAUGCCGCGUGAAUGAUGAAGGUCUUAGGAUUGUAAAAUUCUUUCACCGGGGAAGAUAAUGACGGUACCCGGAGAAGAAGCCCCGGCCAACUUCGUGCCAGCCGCCGCGGUAA